RNAcentral lists this ribosomal RNA (397 nucleotides) under uncultured bacterium. Its description in RNAcentral is "partial 16S ribosomal RNA". It matches the Rfam family "Bacterial small subunit ribosomal RNA", at positions 523 to 918 of the family's 1533-position model. The record is from RNAcentral.
AUACGUAGGUGGCAAGCGUUGUCCGGAAUUAUUGGGCGUAAAGCGCGCGCAGGCGGUCCUUUAAGUCUGAUGUGAAAGCCCACGGCUCAACCGUGGAGGGGCAUUGGAAACUGGGGGACUUGAGCGCAGAAGAGGAAAGUGGAAUUCCAAGUGUAGCGGUGAAAUGCGUAGAGAUUUGGAGGAACACCAGUGGCGAAGGCGACUUUCUGGUCUGUAACUGACGCUGAGGCGCGAAAGCGUGGGGAGCAAACAGGAUUAGAUACCCUGGUAGUCCACGCCGUAAACGAUGAGUGCUAAGUGUUAGGGGGUUUCCGCCCCUUAGUGCUGCAGCUAACGCAUUAAGCACUCCGCCUGGGGAGUAUGGUCGCAAGACUGAAACUCAAAUGAAUUGACGGGG